UACGGGGGGGGCAAGCGUUGUUCGGAAUUACUGGGCGUAAAGCGCACGUAGGCGGCUUUGCAAGUCGGGUGUGAAAUCCCCAGGCUUAACCUGGGAACUGCAUUCGAGACUGCAUUGCUAGAGUAUGGGAGAGGGAAGUGGAAUUUCCGGUGUAGCGGUGAAAUGCGUAGAUAUCGGAAGGAACAUCAGUGGCGAAAGCGACUUCCUGGACCAAUACUGACGCUCAUGUGCGAAAGCGUGGGGAGCAAACAGG
Molecule: ribosomal RNA, 253 nt
Filed under: uncultured bacterium
Lineage: Bacteria
Description: partial 16S ribosomal RNA
Rfam family: Bacterial small subunit ribosomal RNA
Source: RNAcentral